RNAcentral lists this ribosomal RNA (478 nucleotides) under uncultured bacterium. RNAcentral describes it as "bacterial SSU rRNA". It matches the Rfam family "Bacterial small subunit ribosomal RNA", at positions 29 to 508 of the family's 1533-position model. The record is from RNAcentral.
AACGAACGUUGGCGGCGUGGAUUAGGCAUGCAAGUCGAACGAAUCCCACUGUUGUAGCAAUACAGUGGUGGGGGAAGUGGCGAAAGGGGCAGUAAUGCGUGGGUAACCUACCUCGGGGACGUGGAUAGCCAUUCUAACGAGUGGGUAAUACGCGGCGAUUUGGUUGAGGGGCAUCCCUUGGCCAGGAAAUGAGUUUCGCCUCGAGAGGGGCUCACGUGAUAUUAGCUAGUUGGUGAGGUAACGGCUCACCAAGGCAAAGAUGUCUAGCGGGUGUGAGAGCACGACCCGCGCCACUGGCACUGAGACACUGGCCAGACACCUACGGGUGGCUGCAGUCGAGGAUCUUUGGCAAUGAGCGCAAGCUUGACCAAGCGACGCCGCGUGUGCGAUGAAGGCCUUCGGGUUGUAAAGCACUGUCGAGGGGGACGAAGCCGCAAGGUUGACCGAUCCCUGGAGGAAGCACGGGCUAAGUUCGUGC